RNAcentral lists this ribosomal RNA (860 nucleotides) under Vibrio caribbeanicus. RNAcentral describes it as "bacterial SSU rRNA". It matches the Rfam family "Bacterial small subunit ribosomal RNA", at positions 585 to 1445 of the family's 1533-position model. The record is from RNAcentral. Lineage: Bacteria; Pseudomonadati; Pseudomonadota; Gammaproteobacteria; Vibrionales; Vibrionaceae.
AAGUCAGAUGUGAAAGCCCGGGGCUCAACCUCGGAAUUGCAUUUGAAACUGGCAGACUAGAGUACUGUAGAGGGGGGUAGAAUUUCAGGUGUAGCGGUGAAAUGCGUAGAGAUCUGAAGGAAUACCGGUGGCGAAGGCGGCCCCCUGGACAGAUACUGACACUCAGAUGCGAAAGCGUGGGGAGCAAACAGGAUUAGAUACCCUGGUAGUCCACGCCGUAAACGAUGUCUACUUGGAGGUUGUGGCCUUGAGCCGUGGCUUUCGGAGCUAACGCGUUAAGUAGACCGCCUGGGGAGUACGGUCGCAAGAUUAAAACUCAAAUGAAUUGACGGGGGCCCGCACAAGCGGUGGAGCAUGUGGUUUAAUUCGAUGCAACGCGAAGAACCUUACCUACUCUUGACAUCCAUAGAACUUUCCAGAGAUGGAUUGGUGCCUUCGGGAACUAUGAGACAGGUGCUGCAUGGCUGUCGUCAGCUCGUGUUGUGAAAUGUUGGGUUAAGUCCCGCAACGAGCGCAACCCUUAUCCUUGUUUGCCAGCACUUCGGGUGGGAACUCCAGGGAGACUGCCGGUGAUAAACCGGAGGAAGGUGGGGACGACGUCAAGUCAUCAUGGCCCUUACGAGUAGGGCUACACACGUGCUACAAUGGCGCAUACAGAGGGCGGCCAACUUGCAAAAGUGAGCGAAUCCCAAAAAGUGCGUCGUAGUCCGGAUUGGAGUCUGCAACUCGACUCCAUGAAGUCGGAAUCGCUAGUAAUCGUGGAUCAGAAUGCCACGGUGAAUACGUUCCCGGGCCUUGUACACACCGCCCGUCACACCAUGGGAGUGGGCUGCAAAAGAAGUGGGUAGUUUAACCUUCGG